GAUGAACGCUGGCGGCGUGCCUAAUACAUGCAAGUCGAGCGAACAGACGAGGAGCUUGCUCCUCUGACGUUAGCGGCGGACGGGUGAGUAACACGUGGAUAACCUACCUAUAAGACUGGGAUAACUUCGGGAAACCGGAGCUAAUACCGGAUAACAUGUUGAACCGCAUGGUUCAACAGUGAAAGACGGUCUUGCUGUCUCUUAUAGAUGGAUCCGCGCCGCAUUAGCUAGUUGGUAAGGUAACGGCUUACCAAGGCAACGAUGCGUAGCAGACCUGAGAGUGUGAUCGGCCACACUGGAACUGAGACACGGUCCAGACUCCUACGGGAGGCAGCAGUAGGGAAUCGUCCGCAAAGGGCGAAAGCCUGACGGAGCAACGGCGAGUGAGUGAAGAAGGUCUUCGGAUCGUAAAACUCUGUUAUUAGGGAAGAACAAAUGUGUAAGUAACUAAGCACUUCUUGACGGUACCGAAUCAGAAAGCCACGGCUAACUACGUG
Molecule: ribosomal RNA, 497 nt
Filed under: uncultured bacterium
Lineage: Bacteria
Description: partial 16S ribosomal RNA
Rfam family: Bacterial small subunit ribosomal RNA
Source: RNAcentral